This 253-nucleotide ribosomal RNA is filed under the name uncultured bacterium. Its description in RNAcentral is "partial 16S ribosomal RNA". It matches the Rfam family "Bacterial small subunit ribosomal RNA", at positions 524 to 776 of the family's 1533-position model. The record is from RNAcentral.
UACGUAGGGGGCAAGCGUUGUCCGGAAUCAUUGGGCGUAAAGCGCGUGUAGGCGGCCCGGUAAGUCCGCUGUGAAAGUCGGGGGCUCAACCCUCGAAUGCCGGUGGAUACUGUCGGGCUAGAGUGCGGGAGAGGCGAGUGGAAUUCCUGGUGUAGCGGUGAAAUGCGCAGAUAUCAGGAGGAACACCGGUGGCGAAGGCGGGUCUCUGGGCCGAUACUGACGCUGAGGAGCGAAAGCGUGGGGAGCAAACAGG